Molecule: long non-coding RNA, 569 nt
Organism: Hippocampus comes (tiger tail seahorse)
Lineage: Eukaryota; Metazoa; Chordata; Actinopteri; Syngnathiformes; Syngnathidae
Exons: 3
Source: RefSeq, a predicted model, not a curated record
UUGGAGACAGUCAGACGGCCUUUCACAGAGUGGAAAUUAAAUGCAUGCCGCCUGCGUGGAAGGCAGGUCAAUGAACCACCACACCCCGAUGGCGCCUCAUUCUCAUCGAGAAAUUGUGGGAACUAUAACAUAGACAUUAAUGUAGCGGUUUCUUCUCCUGCGCUGUCUGUGUGCAGAUUUCAAUGUCCACGGCUUUCAAAGUGUGAUGAGAACUACUUGAAAUACACACGAAUCCCGUUAAAGAAAGGAACUCAAAAUAGUGUCACUCGAAGAUGGACUGUGAGUUGUAUGAGCAACGUGUUCCAGUGACCUAUCUUUGUUAAACUGAGCUGGAAAGCUUUCUAGUAUGAAGGCAAUGCAGACAGGGCCUUACGCUCCAGCAGAGGCGCCUUUUAUUAUUUGAUCGACGUGUGAAGCAACAACUGGGGACAGCUGGCCGUAAAACCUCAGCAAGGGAAGGAUUUUUACCAAGGAGGGAGAGGUGCACUAAGUGGGUGGUGACAUGAUGGAGGAGGAUGGAAAAAGAAAGAGUGACCGAAUGAGGAGAGUGAAAAGAGGACGAGUGAUAC